UACGAACUGUGCGAACGUUAUUCGGAAUCACUGGGCUUACAGGGUGCGUAGGCGGCUUGUUAAGUAGGGUGUGAAAGCCCCCGGCUCAACCGGGGAAUUGCGCCCUAAACUGCCGAGCUGGAGUGAGAUAGGGGUGUGUGGAACUUCCGGUGGAGCGGUGAAAUGCGUAGAGAUCGGAAGGAACGUCGAUGGCGAGGGCAGCCCCCUGGGCCAACACUGACGCUCAGGCACGAAAGCGUGGGGAGCAAACAGG
This 253-nucleotide ribosomal RNA is filed under the name uncultured bacterium. RNAcentral describes it as "partial 16S ribosomal RNA". It matches the Rfam family "Bacterial small subunit ribosomal RNA", at positions 524 to 776 of the family's 1533-position model. The record is from RNAcentral.